Molecule: non-coding RNA, 162 nt
Organism: Pelobates cultripes (western spadefoot toad)
Lineage: Eukaryota; Metazoa; Chordata; Amphibia; Anura; Pelobatidae
Source: the annotation of a GenBank genome assembly
CAGCAGACACAUUCCAGCCAAUCAGCAGCAGACCCUCCCUCCCAGACCCUAUUACCUCCUGGACAGCAUCCAUUGUGAAGCUGCAUUCUUAGUGAGCUGUCCAGGAGGUGGGAGGGUCUGGGAGGGAGGGUCUGAUGCUGAUUGGCUGGAAUGUGUCUGCUG